RNAcentral lists this ribosomal RNA (253 nucleotides) under uncultured bacterium. Its description in RNAcentral is "partial 16S ribosomal RNA". It matches the Rfam family "Bacterial small subunit ribosomal RNA", at positions 524 to 776 of the family's 1533-position model. The record is from RNAcentral.
UACGUAGGUGGCAAGCGUUGUCCGGAUUUACUGGGCGUAAAGAGCGCGCAGGCGGUCGUGCAAGUCGCGUGUGAAAGCCCCCGGCUCAACUGGGGAGGGUCACGCGAUACUGCUCGACUCGAAGGCAGGAGAGGGAAGUGGAAUUCCCGGUGUAGUGGUGAAAUGCGUAGAUAUCGGGAGGAACACCAGUGGCGAAGGCGACUUCCUGGCCUGUUCUUGACGCUGAGGAGCGAAAGCGUGGGGAGCGAACAGG